GCUACCAAGGAUGAAGUGGUUAUUCAUACAAUUAGAUUACCAAAACAGAGCACUGUAGCAGAUGUAAUUAAUGAUCUUAAAACAAAGGUGGAGUUAUCUCAUCCUAAUACGGAACUCAGGUUGCUUGAAGUUUUCUAUCACAAGAUUUACAAGAUUUUUCCACCCAAUGAGAAGAUUGAGAACAUAAAUGAUCAAUAUUGGACUUUAAGGGCAGAAGAGAUCCCAGAAGAAGAGAAGAAUCUUGGUCCCAAUGAUCGCCUCAUUCAUGUAUACCAUUUUACAAAAGAGACAGCUC
This 295-nucleotide unclassified non-coding RNA is filed under the name Hevea brasiliensis (rubber tree). The record is from RNAcentral. Lineage: Eukaryota; Viridiplantae; Streptophyta; Magnoliopsida; Malpighiales; Euphorbiaceae.